RNAcentral lists this small nucleolar RNA (106 nucleotides) under Sus scrofa (pig). Its description in RNAcentral is "Small nucleolar RNA SNORA20 (ENSSSCG00070008877.1)". It matches the Rfam family "Small nucleolar RNA SNORA20", at positions 23 to 128 of the family's 128-position model. Rfam says of the family: ACA20 is a member of the H/ACA class of snoRNA that guide the sites of modification of uridines to pseudouridines. Lineage: Eukaryota; Metazoa; Chordata; Mammalia; Artiodactyla; Suidae. The record is from RNAcentral.
AUUCACAGUGAUAUAAGCAGUUAUAAACAUGAGAUGAAAUAACAUUGGACCAUUGUAAAUUGAGGUGGAGUAACAGUUUCAUCUCUUCUGCACAGUCUAGACAUUG